RNAcentral lists this ribosomal RNA (468 nucleotides) under uncultured bacterium. Its description in RNAcentral is "partial 16S ribosomal RNA". It matches the Rfam family "Bacterial small subunit ribosomal RNA", at positions 28 to 507 of the family's 1533-position model. The record is from RNAcentral.
GACGAACGCUGGCGGCGUGCUUAACACAUGCAAGUCGAACGGAAAGGCCCUGCUUUUGUGGGGUGCUCGAGUGGCGAACGGGUGAGUAACACGUGAGUAACCUGCCCUUGACUUUGGGAUAACUUCAGGAAACUGGGGCUAAUACCGGAUAGGAGCUCCUGCUGCAUGGUGUUGGUUGGAAAGUUUCGGCGGUUGGGGAUGGACUCGCGGCUUAUCAGCUUGUUGGUGGGGUAGUGGCUUACCAAGGCUUUGACGGGUAGCCGGCCUGAGAGGGUUACCGGCCACAUUGGGACUGAGAGACGGACCAGAAUCCUACGGGAGGCAGCAGUGGGGAAUAUUGCACAAUGGGCGGAAGCCUGAUGCAGCAACGCCGCGUGCGGGAUGACGGCCUUCGGGUUGUAAACCGAUUUCGCCUGUGACGAAGCGUGAGUGACGGUAAUGGGUAAAGAAGCACCGGCUAACUACGUG